RNAcentral lists this ribosomal RNA (232 nucleotides) under uncultured bacterium. Its description in RNAcentral is "partial 16S ribosomal RNA". It matches the Rfam family "Bacterial small subunit ribosomal RNA", at positions 15 to 236 of the family's 1533-position model. The record is from RNAcentral.
GAUCAUGGCUCAGGAUGAACGCUAGCUACAGGCUUAACACAUGCAAGUCGAGGGGAAACGACAUCGAAAGCUUGCUUUUGAUGGGCGUCGACCGGCGCACGGGUGAGUAACGCGUAUCCAACCUGCCCAUCACUUGGGAAUAACCUUGCGAAAGUAAGACUAAUACCCAAUGAUAUCUCUAGAAGACAUCUGAAAGAGAUUAAAGAUUUAUCGGUGAUGGAUGGGGAUGCGU